RNAcentral lists this ribosomal RNA (320 nucleotides) under uncultured Chloroflexota bacterium. RNAcentral's name for it is "bacterial SSU rRNA". It matches the Rfam family "Bacterial small subunit ribosomal RNA", at positions 28 to 351 of the family's 1533-position model. The record is from RNAcentral. Lineage: Bacteria; Bacillati; Chloroflexota.
GAUGAACGCUGGCGGCGUGCCUAAUACAUGCAAGUCGAACGAACUGUUUUCUUCGGAGGAACGGUUAGUGGCGUCCGGGUGAGUAACACGUAGGUGACCUACCCCGAAGUGGGGAAUAACCACCCGAAAGGGUAGCUAAUUCCGCAUGUGCUCGGACAUUCAUUUGUCCGAGUAAAGCCGUAAGGCGCUUUGGGAGGGCCUGCGUCCGAUUAGCUAGUUGGUAGGGUAAUGGCCUACCAAGGCGAAGAUCGGUAGCUGGUCUGAGAGGAUGAUCAGCCACACUGGCACUGAAACACGGGCCAGACUCCUACGGGAGGCAG